GGGCGUGUGGCGGAACGGCAGACGCAGUUGACUUAGGAUCAAAAAGAUGCAGGUUCGAAUCCUGCCAUGCCUACCA
This 76-nucleotide transfer RNA is filed under the name Candidatus Chloroheliaceae bacterium. RNAcentral's name for it is "tRNA-Leu". It matches the Rfam family "tRNA". Rfam says of the family: Transfer RNA (tRNA) molecules are approximately 80 nucleotides in length. Their secondary structure includes four short double-helical elements and three loops (D, anti-codon, and T loops). The record is from RNAcentral. Lineage: Bacteria; Bacillati; Chloroflexota; Chloroflexia; Candidatus Chloroheliales; Candidatus Chloroheliaceae.